Lynx canadensis (Canada lynx) is the source of this 1263-nucleotide long non-coding RNA. RefSeq lists it as uncharacterized. The record is from RefSeq and is a predicted model, not a curated record. The transcript has 3 exons. NCBI's taxonomy places the organism in Eukaryota, Metazoa, Chordata, Mammalia, Carnivora, Felidae.
GUGGGGGUGGAGAACCAGCCAGCGCUACCAACAAGCAGGACAUAGCUUCCAGCCCAGGAGGAGGUGGAUGCCAGGAGCUGGCCCUAGUGAUGUUUGCAUUUGAACAACAGUGAGAUUGGGUGUCAGCUGCCCCAGGGGCGCCGCCGAGGAAGAUGAAGAAAUGGAGCAGGCUGUCUCCAGGCAAAGGAGGAGAGAAGGGCAGAAUCCGGAUGGUAUGGAAUGAACAGCAAGGGAGGGAAGCGGAAAGGGGAACUGGGAUUUGCUACUGCUCUAUCAAAUUGCAGUGUGCAAAGCUAGCUCCAGGUGGUGGGCUCCUGAGUGUCACCGCCAGGGUACAAACCUCAGUUGUGCCCUCUACUUACUGUGUGACCAUGUGUGAAUGGGCAAACUCUCUGAACUUGAGUUUGCCUCUCAGCAAAACAGUACCUACUUCCUGGGACUGUCAGGGGCACUGAAUGAGAUGACAAGCGACCCUUAGCCCAGCACCUGGUACACAGCAAACACUCCAUCCAAUCCGGACACGAUUAUCAUUCUGCCAGAACUUCUGUGAAAUUUGGUUACAGUUACAGGUCUGCACCUCUGGGACCUACUUCAAGUCAUUUGUCUCCGGAAGAGAUGCCUCUUUGAGAGUCCUGAGCGUCCAGUGGGUUGAGACCAAACCCAGGGAAUUAUCGCUAAAGAAACCCAAGCCCUGCUUCGGAGACAUGUUGGCGGUAAACACUGACCGUAUGAUGUAACUAUUUCUUUUGUUUUAAGAGACACUCCUUUCCUACCACUGAGGCAUUGCUGUCAAUUUAACAAAGCCAAAAUUGAGUUCAUGGAGAGAAAAGGGCCUCUUCCACUUCAAGGACUACAACCUUUGAAAUGCAUUUAAAAGAGAGUAAAGUUUUUUUUAGAUGUGAAUAGCCAGAGACCCAGCGAGGUGUAGGAAAGGUGACCCUGCCAGAGGGCCUUCCCGAGACAAGGUUCACUCAGGUCAGCCGGCAGUCUGUCGCAGGUAAGAGGCAAGGGUCACCCUCUGCCCUCCUCCGCCCUGGCCCUGGCACCCUGGAGCCCUGACAGGUGACAACUUACUUGCAGGACUAAGCAGCCCCCUCCUCCGGCGAGGGAGUGAGGAGGGGUUGGAGAGGCCAGUCGGUAAGAAGCAAAAGAAGAAACCUUCCUUAAGAAAAUUACAAUCUCCACUUAGGGGCUAGGCUUGCCAUCCAGCCAGAGGGCUAACUUUUUUUUUUAAAGGAAUUUAUUGGGGCACCUGGGUGGCUC